Molecule: ribosomal RNA, 468 nt
Filed under: uncultured bacterium
Lineage: Bacteria
Description: partial 16S ribosomal RNA
Rfam family: Bacterial small subunit ribosomal RNA
Source: RNAcentral
GACGAACGCUGGCGGCGUGCUUAACACAUGCAAGUCGAACGGAAAGGCCCUGCUUUUGUGGGGUGCUCGAGUGGCGAACGGGUGAGUAACACGUGAGUAACCUGCCCUUGACUUUGGGAUAACUUCAGGAAACUGGGGCUAAUACCGGAUAGGAGCUCCUGCUGCACGGUGGGGGUUGGUAAGUUUCGGCGGUUGGGGAUGGACUCGCGGCUUAUCAGCUUGUUGGUGGGGUAGUGGCUUACCAAGGCUUUGACGGGUAGCCGGCCUGAGAGGGUGACCGGCCACAUGGGGACUGCGAUACGGACCAGACUCCUACGGGAGGCAGCAGUGGGGAAUAUUGCACAAUGGGCGGAAGCCUGAUGCAGCAGCGCCGCGUGCGGGAUGACGGCCUUCGGGUUGUAAACCGCUUUCGCCUGUGACGAAGCGUGAGUGACGGUAAUGGGUAAAGAAGCACCGGCUAACUACGUG